UGCUGGAGGUAUCAGAAGUGCGAAUGCUGACAUGAGUAACGAUAAAGGGAGUGAAAAACUCCCUCGCCGGAAGAUCAAGGGUUCCUGUCCAACGUUAAUCGGGGCAGGGUAAGUCGACCCCUAAGGCGAGGCCGAAAGGCGUAGUCGAUGGGAAACGGGUUAAUAUUCCCGUACUUCUUAUAAUUGCGAUGGAGGGACGGAGAAGGCUAGGUGAGCCUGGCGACGGUUGUCCAGGUCCAAGUAUGUAGGCUGAUGGUUUAGGCAAAUCCGGACCAUCUUAAGGCUGAGAUACGAUGUCGAGUCACUACGGUGACGAAGUCAUUGAUGCCAUGCUUCCGGGAAAAGCUUCUAAGCUUCAGAUUAUAAGAAAUCGUACCCCAAACCGACACAGGUGAUCAGGUAGAGAAUACCAAGGCGCUUGAGAGAACUCGGGUGAAGGAACUAGGCAAAAUGGUACCGUAACUUCGGGAGAAGGUACGCUCCUAGCGGUGAUGAGACUUGCUCUCUAAGCUGCCGGGAGUCGCAGAUACCAGGUGGCUGCAACUGUUUAUUAAAAACACAGCACUGUGCAAAAUCGAAAGAUGACGUAUACGGUGUGACGCCUGCCCGGUGCCGGAAGGUUAAUUGAUGGGGUUAGACUUCGGUCGAAGCUCUUGAUCGAAGCCCCGGUAAACGGCGGCCGUAACUAUAACGGUCCUAAGGUAGCGAAAUUCCUUGUCGGGUAAGUUCCGACCUGCACGAAUGGCGUAAUGAUGGCCACGCUGUCUCCACCCGAGACUCAGUGAAAUUGAAAUCGCAGUGAAGAUGCUGCGUCCCCGCGGCUAGACGGAAAGACCCCGUGAACCUUUACUAUAGCUUGGCACUGAACAUUGACCCUACAUGUGUAGGAUAGGUGGGAGACGUUGAAGCAACCGCGCCAGUGGUUGUGGAGUCAAUCUUGAAAUACCACCCUUGUAUGCUUGAUGUUCUAACGUUGGCCCCUUAUCGGGGUUACGGACAGUGCCUGGUGGGUAGUUUGACUGGGGCGGUCUCCUCCCAAAGAGUAACGGAGGAGCACGAAGGUGGGCUAAUCACGGUCGGACAUCGUGAGGUUAGUGCAAUGGCAUAAGCCCGCUUGACUGCGAGAAUGACAAUUCGAGCAGGUGCGAAAGCAGGUCAUAGUGAUCCGGUGGUUCUGAAUGGAAGGGCCAUCGCUCAACGGAUAAAAGGUACUCCGGGGAUAACAGGCUGAUACCGCCCAAGAGUUCAUAUCGACGGCGGUGUUUGGCACCUCGAUGUCGGCUCAUCACAUCCUGGGGCUGAAGUCGGUCCCAAGGGUAUGGCUGUUCGCCAUUUAAAGUGGUACGCGAGCUGGGUUUAGAACGUCGUGAGACAGUUCGGUCCCUAUCUGCCGUGGGCGUUGGAUGAUUGAGAGGGGCUGCUCCUAGUACGAGAGGACCGGAGUGGACGAACCGCUGGUGUUCGGGUUGUGUCGCCAGACGCAUUGCCCGGUAGCUAAGUUCGGAAUCGAUAACCGCUGAAAGCAUCUAAGCGGGAAGCGAGCCUCAAGAUGAGUCAUCCCUAGACCUUUAAGGUCUCUAAAGGGUUGUUGAAGACUACAACGUUGAUAGGUCGGGUGUGUAAGUGCUG
This 1629-nucleotide ribosomal RNA is filed under the name Photobacterium sp. GB-50. RNAcentral's name for it is "bacterial LSU rRNA". It matches the Rfam family "Bacterial large subunit ribosomal RNA", at positions 1271 to 2878 of the family's 2925-position model. Lineage: Bacteria; Pseudomonadati; Pseudomonadota; Gammaproteobacteria; Vibrionales; Vibrionaceae. The record is from RNAcentral.